Molecule: long non-coding RNA, 1819 nt
Organism: Helianthus annuus (common sunflower)
Lineage: Eukaryota; Viridiplantae; Streptophyta; Magnoliopsida; Asterales; Asteraceae
Exons: 5
Source: RefSeq, a predicted model, not a curated record
GGAGAGACAUGUAAAGCAAAAAGGAGAAAGAGAGGUACGACACGAUUUCGCCGGUGAGUGACCGAUGAUGCCUAACCUAUGCUGGUGAAAGCAUACAGCAGAGUGUUUCAUCCGCCUAUUAGUUCGUCACGAAGAUGAUGCAUGCCGCAUGUGGAGUAAUGAUUUAGGGUUCCAACUGCGGAGUUGCAGCGGCAAGCGUCAGCUUUUGACGGAGGCGGCACCUUCUGCCAUCCUAUGACGAUGACUAUCAAGGUGACGCUUUGCAUAGUGUAAGGACUAACUUGGAUAAUCCAAGCAGUGUACUCUAGAGAUGCACAAAAUAUCCGGUUCCGGACCCGACCCGACCACAUACCGAUUCUAGAACCAGGGCGUAGAAAUAGGAACUGAAUCGGACCCGACCCGGAACCACCUAUACCCGGUUAAAAUCCGGACCCGACCCGGCCAAACCGGUCAAAACUAGGUCAAAUACCCGAACGUACCCGGAACCGUUUCCUACCCUACCCGGUUCUUGAUUUUUAGAUCAAACCCGAACCCAGUUCCUGGGUAUUAAAAAACCCCGUUUUGUGCAUCUAAUCGUGUGUACUUCAGGGUAUUAAAAAAAACUUUGUACUCCAAAGCUGCAAUCCAAUCGAGUGUAAAUUUCACAAACUUUUAUUCAACAAUAAUUAAGAUGUUCAUGUAUUAUGCAUUUGAGAGUGAUUGUGUUUGACUUUUGCCUCAAAAGUCAAAGCAAUCCCUGUCACCUACAUUUAAACAAUAUCCAUUUAAUUAAAAAAAACAUGAUCUUGAUCUGAUGGUUGUGAUAAUAGUUCUGAGCAAAUUGUUAGUUAUGCAUGGUUGGUUUUUUUGAAUUGGCAAACGAGAUUAAAACAAGAAAGAAUGAAAAAUCUUAUAAAACAAUUUCACAUGAAAGCAAAUUCACUCGCAAUCUAGAAUACAUAAUUUUAUAUACGUACAUGUAUGUCUUCACACCAACAACAUGUGUACUAACCAUUUAUUAAAAUUAGGUAUUGCAUAAGCUUAGUUGGAAUACAAUGCCCUGAUCUACAAAUAACAGAUACUUGCAAUGACACGACAUGGUCCCAACACCAGUACAAGCAAUCAAGGGAAGAAGAGUGAAAUUACAAAGCCAAACACUAAACGAUGCACGCUCAGGAGCACAAUAAUGCACUGUAAAAUAGCGUCACUGAAGUAGACCCAGAGGCAGGCUCAACGAUAGCAAUUGUCACAACCUUAGCAGCCCCAGCAACACCAAUGGGAGCAAAACAGAUUGUCGCAGCAGCUAAGAAUAUCAUAUUUCCAAAGCCAGCAUCCAAAAAUUGACAAACCGGCCCCCUCUCAUAGUCUGAAGGCGGGGAAACCGCAUGUGGUAGUGGUUUGUGCAUCCAAGCAGCAGUGAUUGAGUCCGAUGGUGUUACAACCCGCAAGUCGACGUCAACAGUGCUCAACGACGAAGACGGCGGUCAAGCGGCUAGGGUUCCAAUCAAGUUCCGACAAGUUUCCGGUGUAGCUGCAUACUUAGAUGAUGGCAAAGGGCUAUCACAUGUGGUAGCAAAUAGUAAGGGUGUAAAUAAACCAAGAGCUUGAUGUGAGAGCCCUUUUAUUCGUGUUGCAAUGCAAGGGCAUUUCUCCACUACUAAAUACCUCACCGAACGUGUAUUGAAACUGAUGAUGGCACUACUCCUUUGCUGUUAGUUGUAGCUGCAAGCUCGCUCCUUUGCUGUUUAGUUGUAGUUGUAGGCUCACUCCAAUGCUUGGAGCUGUUACAAUUUUGUCUACUAUUAGAAAAGGGUUCUUUGCUAACAAGAAUGUAAGCAAU